UGGAUGACUGACUCUGGUCGAGUUGUAUUUUGGAGAAGGUGCUUCGGGUGCGACGGCAGUCCAAGUCCCUUGGAAUUGGGCGUUCGAAAGGGUGAGAAUCCCGUAUGCGACCGCCCGUCAACCCCGUGUGAAGCCCUUUCGACGAGUCGAGUUGUUUGGGAAUGCAGCUCCAAGCGGGUGGUAAAUUCCAUCUAAGGCUAAAUACCUGCCAGAGACCGAUAGUGCACAAGUAGAGUGAUCGAAAGAUGAAAAGCACUUUGAAAAGAGAGUGAAACAGUACGUGAAAUUGUUGAAAGGGAAGCGCUUGCAACCAGACUCGUCCGUGGGUGUUCAGCCGUCUUUCGAGACGGUGCAUUGCCUGCGGAUGGCCAGCAUCGGUUUGGGGGGUCGAACAAAGGCUUGGGGAAUGUAGCCGCUUUCGGGCAGUGUUAUAGCCUCUUGCACCAUUCGUUCUGCCGGGACCGAGGAUCGCGCCUUGUGCUAGGAUGCUGGCGUAAUGGUUGCCAGCGACCCGUCUUGAAACACGGACCAAGGAGUGGACCAACUGCGCGAGUGUUUGGGCGCAAAACCCAUACGCGAAAUGAAAGUGAACGGAGGUGGGAGCCUUUGGGCGCACCAUCGACCGAUCCUGAUGUCUUCGGACGGAUUUGAGUAUGAGCGCAGCUGUUCCGACCCGAAAGAUGGUGAACUAUGCGUGAAUAGGGUGAAGCCAAAGGAAACUCUGGUGGAGGCUCGCAGCGGUUCUGACGUGCAAAUCGAUCGUCAAAUUUGCGUAUAGGGGCGAAAGACUAAUCGAACCAUCUAGUAGCUGGUUCCUGCCGAAGUUUCCCUCAGGAUAGCAGCAGCGAGCGAAACAGUCUCAUGAGGUAGAGCGAACGAUUAGAGGCCUUGGGGUUGAAACAACCUUAACCUAUUCUCGAACUUCGAAUAUGUGAGAAGUCCUUGUUACUUAACUGAACGUGGACACCUGGAGAUCGCGCAGCCCC
RNAcentral lists this ribosomal RNA (986 nucleotides) under Acanthotrema brasilianum. RNAcentral describes it as "eukaryotic LSU rRNA". It matches the Rfam family "Eukaryotic large subunit ribosomal RNA", at positions 121 to 1126 of the family's 3401-position model. Lineage: Eukaryota; Fungi; Ascomycota; Lecanoromycetes; Ostropales; Graphidaceae. The record is from RNAcentral.